Molecule: long non-coding RNA, 2051 nt
Organism: Olea europaea var. sylvestris
Lineage: Eukaryota; Viridiplantae; Streptophyta; Magnoliopsida; Lamiales; Oleaceae
Exons: 2
Source: RefSeq, a predicted model, not a curated record
UUAUGACUCAAUACUCAUUAAUUUAUGGUCGUUCUUGUACUAGCUGAAGCCUCAACAGUGACCUGACUUGCUUGCCCAUAUCUAUCUGCUAAUUGCAGCACUGAUUUCACCAUACCUAUGGUUCAAUACUAAUCCAAUCCCAUCCCAUUUUUGUUUACUUUUUUCCCUUUGUUUUUUUCAUUCUUCAUACGUACGCAUAUAAAAAGACUUUUAAUUUCAGUCUUAAGACUAACUAAAAACUUAAAUAUUUUUCCUUCAUUUGUGUUAUUUAUUAAGUGUUUUUAAAAGUAAAUAAUAUAUACAUUUUCUAUUUGCAUGAUUUUAUCUCAACAAUCAUCAAUAAUAAUAACAUUACAAUUCUGUAUAUAAUGGAGGAGGCCUAGUGAUAUUUUUAAUUUUAUAUUUAAUAUUAAUAAAACUGAGCUUGUUUUCUGAUGUAUAUGGUGUGAUUUUCACUCAAUAAUCCUUAAUUUAUGGUCAUUCUUGUAGUAACUGAAGUUUCAACAGUCAACUAAUUUACUUGCCUAUAUAUGUCUGACAAUUGCAGCAGUGAUUAUACCAUAAAAUAUUGAUACUUAUAUCACUGUAGUGUACAUGCUGAUCUUACUCUCUUUCUUUUUUUAAAAACUUUGACGAUUUAUAUCUGGACCACUUCCUCUACAAAGAUAAUACAUUUGGUUGUAAGAAAAAUUCAUUUUCGAUUCUAAACACAAAAACACUACACUCACUUAAGUUACCUAAAUACAAGAUUACAAAACCUCCACCUCCAUUACAAGUCUUAGAAUGGAAGAACAAUGCCAACUAAUACCAGAAAUUGUGUCAAACAAUCAAAAGUGGAGAGUCAAGGUAAUUAUAGUAGAAAAACAAUCACCAAAACCUUCAAAGCAAGGUAAUGGAAGGUAUCAACAUUUGAUCUUAAUCGAUACUCAGGUAACUCUUGUUCAUUACACAUCUUAAAUACUGAGGUUUAAUUAAAUGUUACAUUUAGUUAUACUCUAUUGUCUUAUUUAUCCACUAUUUGUUACACAUUUUUUUUCUCCAGUUUAAGAAGAAAAUAGACCAAUUUAAAUGUCCCAUUUGCCAUGAUUUUGUUGACUUUCAUCUCACAUUUGCCUUGAAAAUGUGAGCUCCAAUGUUUUGAGUAACCCAUAUUAAUUGUGGAAAAACAAGCAGCAAACAGAGGAUUAAAAACUAUUAAGGCUUUUCACUGUGCUAUACAUUUUUUCAUCUUUAUUAUUGAAGAACAUAUACAUGCUAAUAUUUAUAAAACUCCUUCCUAUUUUUAUAUGAUUCAAAUAUCACUGCUUUUGGGGAUCAGCUUGUUCUCUCAUGUCUUCAUUUACUAAUACUCAAUUCUUAUUCACUUUAGGGGCUAGAGCAUAGGUGCAGCUAUUAGAUGUCACGAUCUCGCUCAAUGCAAAUGCAAUUGGUGAAACAGCUGAAAAAUUGCUAUUUACAAGUUCACAAUCUUUGAUGGAGCAAACCAAUUCUGGUUCACAGACAAACUUUCAAGCUGUCAUUCAGAAAAUGCGAAACACUGAACGAGCUUUUCUACUUGAAAGCAUCGCAAGCUGAACCUAAUUAUCAAGUUAUAGAUUUGACAUUAUCUCUAUAACAAACUCAAACAUACAAGUCCAAGAGAAGAAUGCCAAGCAAAUGUCGAUACUCAAGUUAUGGUUACAGCAGUUGGAAAAAUCAUCGAUACAGACUCUCAAGAAGAUUAGUCACCUCCGACAAAUAGAGCUCUUUUCAAGUCUUCAGAUCAUAUCUCAAGUUCAAAGGUGGCUUGUGAUGAAAACAUAAGUUCAAAAAUCUCUGACACAAAUUCAUUUACUCCAACAGAAAACAUGGAGGGAAUGAUGAUUGAAAUUUUUUUUUUUUUUGCGAAAUUCUUUUGACAAGAACCUACUUUUUUUGUGAAGUUUGUCUUGAUGUUCUCUUUUGUUGACUACAUGUAAUAAUCAGAAACUGUCGAGCACAUUAUUGUUGACAAAUGAUGUAUGUAGAACAUGAUAUCUACAUCAUUAAUGCUAGAAACCAGCACUUGUUUA